Molecule: ribosomal RNA, 228 nt
Filed under: uncultured bacterium
Lineage: Bacteria
Description: partial 16S ribosomal RNA
Rfam family: Bacterial small subunit ribosomal RNA
Source: RNAcentral
CGGGUGAGUAAUGUAUGGGGAUCUGCCUGAUGGCGGGGGAUAACUACUGGAAACGGUAGCUAAUACCGCAUAAUGUCUGCGGACCAAAGCGGGGGACCUCCGGGCCUCGCGCCAUCAGAUGAACCCAUAUGGGAUUAGCUUGUAGGUAAGGUAACGGCUUACCUAGGCGACGAUCCCUAGCUGGUCUGAGAGGAUGAUCAGCCACACUGGGACUGAGACACGGCCCAG